ACGCUCGACACCUACGGGAAGCAGCAGUCGGGAAUAUUGCGCAAUGGAGGAAACUCUGACGCAGUGACGCCGCGUAUAGGAAGAAGGUUUUCGGAUUGUAAACUAUUGUCGUUAGGGAAGAAAAAGGACAGUACCUAAGGAGGAAGCUCCGGCUAACUACGUGCUAGCAGCCGCGGUAAUCUGAGCGGGCUGGCAAGGC
This 199-nucleotide ribosomal RNA is filed under the name uncultured bacterium. RNAcentral's name for it is "partial 16S ribosomal RNA". It matches the Rfam family "Bacterial small subunit ribosomal RNA", at positions 326 to 539 of the family's 1533-position model. The record is from RNAcentral.